RNAcentral lists this ribosomal RNA (497 nucleotides) under uncultured bacterium. RNAcentral's name for it is "partial 16S ribosomal RNA". It matches the Rfam family "Bacterial small subunit ribosomal RNA", at positions 28 to 507 of the family's 1533-position model. The record is from RNAcentral.
GAUGAACGCUGGCGGCGUGCCUAAUACAUGCAAGUCGAGCGAACGGACGAGAAGCUUGCUUUUCUGAUGUUAGCGGCGGACGGGUGAGUAACACGUGGAUAACCUACCUAUAAGACUGGGAUAACUUCGGGAAACCGGAGCUAAUACCGGAUAAUAUUUUGAACCGCAUGGUUCAAAAGUGAAAGACGGUCUUGCUGUCACUUAUAGAUGGAUCCGCGCUGCAUUAGCUAGUUGGUAAGGUAACGGCUUACCAAGGCAACGAUGCAUAGCCGACCUGAGAGGGGGAUCGGCCACACUGGAACUGAGACACGGUCCAGACUCCUACGGGAGGCAGCAGUAGGGAAUCGUCCGCAAUGGGCGAAAGCCUGACGGAGCAACGCCGCGUGAGUGAUGAAGGUCUUCGGAUCGUAAAACUCUGUUAUGAGGGAAGAACAGAUGUGUAAGUAACUGUGCACAGCUUGACGGUAACUAAUCAGAAAGCCACGGCUAACUACGUG